CAGUCGAACGAAACUUCUUUAUCACCGAGUGCUUGCACUCACCGAUAAAGAGUUGAGUGGCGAACGGGUGAGUAACACGUGGGCAACCUGCCCAAAAGAGGGGGAUAACACUUGGAAACAGGUGCUAAUACCGCAUAACCAUAGUUACCGCAUGGUAACUAUGUAAAAGGUGGCUAUACUACCGCUUUUGGAUGGGCCCGCGGCGCAUUAGCUAGUUGGUAGGGUAAAGGCUUACCAAGGCAAUGAUGCGUAGCCGAAUUGAGAGGUUGAUCGGCCACAUUGGGACUGAGACACGGCCCAAACUCCUACGGGAGGCAGCAGUAGGGAAUCUUCCACAAUGGGCGAAAGCCUGAUGGAGCAACGCCGCGUGGGUGAAGAAGGUCUUCGGAUCGUAAAACCCUGUUGUUAGAGAAGAAAGUGCGUGAGAGUAACUGUUCACGUUUCGACGGUAUCUAACCAGAAAGCCACGGCUAACUACGUGCCAGCAGCCGCGGUAAUACGUAGGUGGCAAGCGUUAUCCGGAUUUAUUGGGCGUAAAGGGAACGCAGGCGGUCUUUUAAGUCUGAUGUGAAAGCCUUCGGCUUAACCGGAGUAGUGCAUUGGAAACUGGGAGACUUGAGUGCAGAAGAGGAGAGUGGAACUCCAUGUGUAGCGGUGAAAUGCGUAGAUAUAUGGAAGAACACCAGUGGCGAAAGCGGCUCUCUGGUCUGUAACUGACGCUGAGGUUCGAAAGCGUGGGUAGCAAACAGGAUUAGAUACCCUGGUAGUCCACGCCGUANACGAUGAAUGCUAAGUGUUGGAGGGUNUCCGCCCUUCAGUGCUGCAGCUAACGCAAUAAGCA
Molecule: ribosomal RNA, 841 nt
Filed under: uncultured bacterium
Lineage: Bacteria
Description: bacterial SSU rRNA
Rfam family: Bacterial small subunit ribosomal RNA
Source: RNAcentral